GCUCAGGCGGUGGAGGAGAGGGGAGGUGGCUGCAUCUGCAAAACUACGGGGAGCAGCCGGUCUCAGUGCCACUAUGGGUGCUGAAAUGUGCUGCAGCAGGAACCUUGGAGUGGCAAGCUGGAACAACACAGGAACAUUACUGGGAAUUGUGCCAGCACUUCCCACUGAAGACUGAGUUACUUAUCAAAGAACUGCUUAUCAUUUUUGUAGGAGCAAUCAUGGCCAGCAGGAAUCAAAUUUGGUUAACACAUCAACAAGCUCAACCCACAGUCCAAGUCCAUAUGGAUGUUUGAGCCACAGGGGGUGCAGGAGCCCAGAUGAUCAAGUGUGUCAAAGACCAAUAACAGAUAGCAGUAUAACAGGGACCCAGUCGAGGACUGUUGAGACAAGCACAACACAGUACAGUGCAAACACAGAAAUGAGGUCACAAAGUGAGCAUGGACUGUCAAUCAAAGGUUGCCCCAGCAGCAGUGGGCACUGGUUUGAUCAAAGGCCUCAUCCAGAAAGAACUCAAUGGACAAAUUACAUACAUCCAUGCACGCGAGAAAAUUACAGAUUUGUAAUAAAGCCAUAAGACAUUUGCACAAAUUCAGCUGAAAGUCUCUUACCGCUGCAUUAGCCUGAGUAUGGCUGAUAACAAACUUGUGAAUUACCUCAGUCCUGCAUGUCUGGGAUACCAGCUGAGUCCUGCCUGUGCUGAGGGAGUAUAUCUCAUCUACCCAUGCUCCUGCGUGCAGGGCAUAGACUGUAGACCAGGUAAUGGAGGGCAGGAGUGAGGUUACAGGUUGUGCCCACGCAUUGCUGUUUCCCUACAAAACUUUUGAAA
Molecule: long non-coding RNA, 826 nt
Organism: Passer domesticus (house sparrow)
Lineage: Eukaryota; Metazoa; Chordata; Aves; Passeriformes; Passeridae
Exons: 4
Source: RefSeq, a predicted model, not a curated record